This 468-nucleotide ribosomal RNA is filed under the name uncultured bacterium. Its description in RNAcentral is "partial 16S ribosomal RNA". It matches the Rfam family "Bacterial small subunit ribosomal RNA", at positions 28 to 507 of the family's 1533-position model. The record is from RNAcentral.
GACGAACGCUGGCGGCGUGCUUAACACAUGCAAGUCGAACGGAAAGGCCCUGCUUUUGUGGGGUGCUCGAGUGGCGAACGGGUGAGUAACACGUGAGUAACCUGCCCUUGACUUUGGGAUAACUUCAGGAAACUGGGGCUAAUACCGGAUAGGAGCUCCUGCUGCAUGGUGGGGGUUGGAAAGUUUCGGCGGUUGGGGAUGGACUCGCGGCUUAUCAGCUUGUUGGUGGGGUAGUGGCUUACCAAGGCUUUGACGGGUAGCCGGCCUGAGAGGGUGACCGGCCACAUUGGGACUGAGAUACGGCCCAGACUCCUACGGGAGGCAGCAGUGGGGAAUAUUGCACAAUGGGCGGAAGCCUGAUGCAGCAACGCCGCGUGCGGGAUGACGGCCUUCGGGUUGUAAACCGCUUUCGCCUGUGACGAAGCGUGAGUGGCGGUAAUGGGUAAAGAGGCACCGGCUAACUACGUG